Molecule: transfer RNA, 78 nt
Filed under: Flavobacteriaceae bacterium
Lineage: Bacteria; Pseudomonadati; Bacteroidota; Flavobacteriia; Flavobacteriales; Flavobacteriaceae
Description: tRNA-Asn
Rfam family: tRNA
About the family: Transfer RNA (tRNA) molecules are approximately 80 nucleotides in length. Their secondary structure includes four short double-helical elements and three loops (D, anti-codon, and T loops). Further hydrogen bonds mediate the characteristic L-shaped molecular structure. tRNAs have two regions of fundamental functional importance: the anti-codon, which is responsible for specific mRNA codon recognition, and the 3' end, to which the tRNAs corresponding amino acid is attached (by aminoacyl-tRNA synthetases). tRNAs cope with the degeneracy of the genetic code in two manners: having more than one tRNA (with a specific anti-codon) for a particular amino acid; and 'wobble' base-pairing, i.e. permitting non-standard base-pairing at the 3rd anti-codon position.
Source: RNAcentral
UGGUAGUGAGUCGUCCGGGUGAUGGCACCUGACUGUUAAUCAGGAACGAGACUGGUUCGAGUCCAGUACUACCAGCCA